Molecule: ribosomal RNA, 478 nt
Filed under: uncultured bacterium
Lineage: Bacteria
Description: partial 16S ribosomal RNA
Rfam family: Bacterial small subunit ribosomal RNA
Source: RNAcentral
GAUGAACGCUGGCGGCGUGCUUAACACAUGCAAGUCGAACGGGAAAUAUUUCAUUGAGACUUCGGUGGAUUUGAUUUAUUUCUAGUGGCGGACGGGUGAGUAACGCGUGGGUAACCUGCCUUAUACAGGGGGAUAACAGUCAGAAAUGGCUGCUAAUACCGCAUAAGCGCACAGAGCUGCAUGGCUCAGUGUGAAAAACUCCGGUGGUAUAAGAUGGACCCGCGUUGGAUUAGCUAGUUGGUGGGGUAACGGCCCACCAAGGCGACGAUCCAUAGCCGGCCGGAGAGGGUGAACGGCCACAUUGGGACUGAGACACGGCCCAGACUCCUACGGGAGGCAGCAGUGGGGAAUAUUGCACAAUGGGGGAAACCCUGAUGCAGCGACGCCGCGUGAAGGAAGAAGUAUCUCGGUAUGUAAACUUCUAUCAGCAGGGAAGAUAGUGACGGUACCUGACUAAGAAGCCCCGGCUAACUACGUG